Molecule: ribosomal RNA, 460 nt
Filed under: uncultured bacterium
Lineage: Bacteria
Description: partial 16S ribosomal RNA
Rfam family: Bacterial small subunit ribosomal RNA
Source: RNAcentral
CCUACGGGUGGCAGCAGUGGGGAAUAUUGGUCAAUGAGCGCUAGCCUGAACCAGCGAAAUAGCGUGAAGGAUGAAUGCCCUAUGGGUGGUAAGCUUCGUUUAUAUGGGAAUAAAGUGCAGUUUGUAUACUACUUUACAUGUACCUUAUGAAUAAGGAUCGGCUAAAUCCGUGCCAGCAGCCGCGGUAAUGCGGUGGAUCCGAGCGUUAUUCGGAUUUGUUUGGUUGAAAGGAAGCGUAGGCGGGUUGUUAAGUCAGUUGGGAAAGUUUGAGGCUCAACCGUAACAUUGCAGUGGAUACUAGCAUCCUUGAGUACAGUAGAGGUAGGCGGAAUUCGUGGUGUAGCGGUGAAAUGCUUAGAUAUAUAGAAGAACUCCGAUGGCGAAGGCAGCCUGCUGGACUGUAACUGACGCUGAUGCUCGAAAGUGUGGGGAUCAAACAGGAUUAGAUACCCUAGUAGUC